UUGCCGGAUAGCCAAAUUGGUAAGGCACCUGAUUCUGGUUCAGGCGAUUCUAGGUUCGAAUCCUAGUCGGCCAA
Molecule: transfer RNA, 74 nt
Filed under: Leadbetterella sp.
Lineage: Bacteria; Pseudomonadati; Bacteroidota; Cytophagia; Cytophagales; Leadbetterellaceae
Description: tRNA-Gln
Rfam family: tRNA
About the family: Transfer RNA (tRNA) molecules are approximately 80 nucleotides in length. Their secondary structure includes four short double-helical elements and three loops (D, anti-codon, and T loops).
Source: RNAcentral